Long non-coding RNA from Gorilla gorilla gorilla (western lowland gorilla), 678 nucleotides. RefSeq lists it as uncharacterized. The transcript is spliced from 3 exons. NCBI's taxonomy places the organism in Eukaryota, Metazoa, Chordata, Mammalia, Primates, Hominidae. The record is from RefSeq and is a predicted model, not a curated record.
AGUCAGCCCAGCCUAGAUGCCAGUCACAUGAGCUGAGAAGUUGAUUCCAGCUCCUAGCCAUUCUCGCCGCUCAGCCAUUUGGGUCAUCCCGGCUGAGGCCCUCAUCAUGGCCAGAGACAUACAAUGCCUGCUCUGCCUUGUCCUAAGUCCUGACCUGAAGAAUUCAUGAGGGGUCUUGCUGUGUUGACCAGGUUGGAGUGCAGUGGCAUGAUCUCAGCUCAUUGCAACCUCGCCUCCUGAGUUCAAGCAUUCUCCUCUCUCAGCCUCCCAAGUAGCUGGGACUACAGGCAUGUACCACCACACCUGGCAAAUCUUGCUAUCUGGAGCAGCUGGAGUGAUCCUAGAUGACUGAAACGUGCAAUGUGUUGGUCAACACUAAAUAAAGUCAAAGUAUUUAAAAAUCUUUCCUUUUAUUUUUAGUUGAUGCAUAAUAAUUGUCUAUAUUUAUGUGAUAUUUUGAUACAUGUAUACAAUGUGUAACAAUCAAAUCAGUGUAAUCGGCAUAUUCAUCACCUCCAGCAUUUAUCAUUUCUUUGUGCUGUGAACAUUCAAAAUUCUGUCUUCUAGCUUUUUGAAAAUAUACAAUAAAUCAUAGUUAACUAUUUUCACCCUAAUGUCUGCAGAACACCAGAACUCAUUCCUCCUCUCUAGCUGUAAUUUUGUAUUCAUUAACUAACC